GACUUGUUCUAUAAUGCAUUAUAAAAACAUUAUAACUUAUCUUUUAAGCAUCUAUAACUCUUAAUAAACUAUUUAAAAAUGACAGCUUCAUAUAAAGUGUUACCAUCAACUUCAGCAAGAAGUUCAUCGCGUUGCUAUAGGUUUUGUGAAUGGAGGCUGUUCUGCUGUGAGUAUAUCGGGGUGCUCUGUGCUCCCCUCGUUAAUGAUCGCGUUGCUAUAGGUUUUGUGAAUGGAGGCUGUUCUGCUGUGAGUAUAUCGGGGUGCUCUGUGCUCCCCUCGUUAGUGAUCGCGUUGCUAUAGGUUUUGUGAAUGGAGGCUGUUCUGCUGUGAGUAUAUCGGGGUGCUCUGUGCUCCCCUCGUUAAUGAUCGCGUUGCUAUAGGUUUUGUGAAUGGAGGCUGUUCUGCUGUGAGUAUAUCGGGGUGCUCUGUGCUCCCCUCGUUAGUGAUCGCGCUGCUAUAGGUUUUGUGAAUGGAGGCUGUUCUGCUGUGAGUGUAUCGGGGUGCUCUGUGCUCCCCUCGUUAAUGAUCGCGUUGCUAUAGGUUUUGUGAAUGGAGGCUGUUCUGCUGUGAGUAUAUCGGGGUGCUCUGUGCUCCCCUCGUUAUUGAUUUCAGUUGUGUUGCACAGUCGAAACACAGCUAACUGCGGAACGAGUGAUUUCGGAGAUACAGACACGGAGAUGACUUCAAGGAGGAGGAAACAAAGAUGUCUCCACAGCUGCAUGGGAACCUCAGCAUUUCCCCGGUUCAUUAUUAAUAGCGGGCUGUCAAGACUUGUCAGCGGGUCGAGCGAGGUGAGAUAAAGACACACACAGGAUUAUUUAAAGUCGUUCGUGACUCGCAUGACUCUGAACAGGUCUGUGUUUCUCUCUCGUCAUGAACCAGCUGCUGCCCAACCCAAGGAACUGCUUUGAAGACAUUUCCUUCCUGUGUCAUGUGACCCGCAGCUCGCUUCAGCUACAGUGAAGAGGAGCGCUUGUGCAAGUCGAUUUUAUACUUCGUAUUGUUGAGGAUAUUGGAUAAUAAAACUAUAUGCAUAAUAAUAAUAAUAAUAAUAAUAAUAAUAAUAAUAAUAAUAAUAACAACAUAAUAUAAUACUAAUAAUCAGAGCUGAAAGUCAGCCUGUACGGCCCGGAACUGCAUACCGGCAAAACAUCUUGUCAAGAGGAGAAACCCAGCUAACUGAGGAACGAGUGAUUCAGUAGAGAGUGGCAUGGACCCGACUCCAAGGAGAAGAAGAAGGAGUAAAGAGAAUGACCCUCCUGAUAUGUCACAAGAGCCUGCCAGACAGACAGAGGUUUCUAUGCGCUGUGUUGGGGUCCAGUGUGAGCUGACAGGAAUCUGAUUGAAGAGAAGAGGACGGGUAGAGGAGAGACGGUUAGAAAAGUCAAAUCACUGAGAAAAUCAACAGUCAUUGUCUGCUGCAUCCUCACAUCCUGUUUAUGGAAGGUGUGUGUGUUGUUUUAAUUAUUUUUUUUAAUACAUUUUGACCACUUUUUUAAACUUUUAAAUUGCAUUCCCUGCCUCAAAAUGGCUUCCUGUGGACCGGCAUGGACCUCUCAGAACUACAUUUCCCAUCAUCCUCUUGUUCACUGGUAAUUCCAUCUCAAUCACAUAUGUGAGCAGGAGGAUGAUGGGAAAUGUAGUUCUGAGAGGCCCAUGCAGUUACAUGUGAAGCUAUCUAUAAGUAUAAAAAAGUGGUCAAAAUGUAAAAAAAAUAAAAAUAAUUAAAACAAUACACACACCUCACGUAAACAGCUGUAGCAACACAUGGGAACAUGCAACACAAUAAAAUACAAAGGUCCUUAUGAACCCUUUAAACCCUCUUGCUGUUUGAUUGUUUUGUUCAUUAUAAUUCCUCAAUCUUAUCAAACUUCUUCAAUUGGAACCAAUCAAAUGCAGUUCUGCAUACAAUUACAGUUCACUUAAUGUUCCUACAGGGUAUGUGUUGCCAUUUUACCCACUCAGACCCCUUGCUUACUAAAUAUUUUCAAUAGAAUAUCGUCCACUCUUCAAAUAUCUGUCUAAUAUUUUAAUGAGCAAUCCAUCCCACAAGUGCAGUGAUACUGCAAUAUACAUUUACUACCAGCACAGGAUGACUGGGAGGGAUAGCUGUUCAUUUUACCCCACAACUGGUUUCACAUGCAUUGUACAUGUAAUAAAAAAUGGGAUGAUUAUCUAUUCAGGGAUACCAAGAUAUUUAGGAAGAGAAAGGUCUGAGUGGAAAAACAGGCAACAAAUGCCCCUCCCCCAGUCAUUCUGCAUGUAUUCAUCUGAACCAAUACUUGUUGGAGAGGAGUGUAGAUUAAUGGCUUCACAAUUACUAAUAAAUAAUAAUAAUUGCUGCCCUCAAGCUCCACCCCUCCCUGUUCUGUAGUGUUAGCUCUUCUCUCAAUGGAGUGACACAUCUUUCAAUCAAAUGUUUCA
Molecule: long non-coding RNA, 2424 nt
Organism: Acipenser ruthenus (sterlet)
Lineage: Eukaryota; Metazoa; Chordata; Actinopteri; Acipenseriformes; Acipenseridae
Exons: 3
Source: RefSeq, a predicted model, not a curated record